UGCAGUCGAACGAUGAAGCCCAGCUUGCUGGGUGGAUUAGUGGCGAACGGGUGAGUAACACGUGAGUAACCUGCCCUUGACUCUGGGAUAAGCGUUGGAAACGACGUCUAAUACCGGAUACGAGCUUCCACCGCAUGGUGAGUUGCUGGAAAGAAUUUUGGUCAAGGAUGGACUCGCGGCCUAUCAGCUUGUUGGUGAGGUAAUGGCUCACCAAGGCGACGACGGGUAGCCGGCCUGAGAGGGUGACCGGCCACACUGGGACUGAGACACGGCCCAGACUCCUACGGGAGGCAGCAGUGGGGAAUAUUGCACAAUGGGCGAAAGCCUGAUGCAGCAACGCCGCGUGAGGGACGACGGCCUUCGGGUUGUAAACCUCUUUUAGCAGGGAAGAAGCGAAAGUGACGGUACCUGCAGAAAAAGCACCGGCUAACUACGUGCCAGCAGCCGCGGUAAUACGUAGGGUGCAAGCGUUGUCCGGAAUUAUUGGGCGUAAAGAGCUCGUAGGCGGUUUGUCGCGUCUGCUGUGAAAUCCCGAGGCUCAACCUCGGGUCUGCAGUGGGUACGGGCAGACUAGAGUGCGGUAGGGGAGAUUGGAAUUCCUGGUGUAGCGGUGGAAUGCGCAGAUAUCAGGAGGAACACCGAUGGCGAAGGCAGAUCUCUGGGCCGCUACUGACGCUGAGGAGCGAAAGGGUGGGGAGCAAACAGGCUUAGAUACCCUGGUAGUCCACCCCGUAAACGUUGGGCGCUAGAUGUGGGGACCAUUCCACGGUUUCCGUGUCGUAGCUAACGCAUUAAGCGCCCCGCCUGGGGAGUACGGCCGCAAGGCUAAAACUCAAAGGAAUUGACGGGGGCCCGCACAAGCGGCGGAGCAUGCGGAUUAAUUCGAUGCAACGCGAAGAACCUUACCAAGGCUUGACAUAUACGAGAACGGGCCAGAAAUGGUCAACUCUUUGGACACUYGUAAACAGGUGGUGCAUGGUUGUCGUCAGCUCGUGUCGUGAGAUGUUGGGUUAAGUCCCGCAACGAGCGCAACCCUCGUUCUAUGUUGCCAGCACGUAAUGGUGGGAACUCAUGGGAUACUGCCGGGGUCAACUCGGAGGAAGGUGGGGACGACGUCAAAUCAUCAUGCCCCUUAUGUCUUGGGCUUCACGCAUGCUACAAUGGCCAGUACAAAGGGCUGCAAUACCGUAAGGUGGAGCGAAUCCCAAAAAGCUGGUCCCAGUUCGGAUUGAGGUCUGCAACUCGACCUCAUGAAGUCGGAGUCGCUAGUAAUCGCAGAUCAGCAACGCUGCGGUGAAUACGUUCCCGGGCCUUGUACACACCGCCCGUCAAGUCAUGAAAGUCGGUAACACCCGAAGCCAGUGGCCUAACCGCAAGGA
RNAcentral lists this ribosomal RNA (1379 nucleotides) under Plantibacter cousiniae (nom. nud.). RNAcentral describes it as "bacterial SSU rRNA". It matches the Rfam family "Bacterial small subunit ribosomal RNA". Lineage: Bacteria; Bacillati; Actinomycetota; Actinomycetes; Micrococcales; Microbacteriaceae. The record is from RNAcentral.